Molecule: ribosomal RNA, 555 nt
Filed under: Eikenella corrodens
Lineage: Bacteria; Pseudomonadati; Pseudomonadota; Betaproteobacteria; Neisseriales; Neisseriaceae
Description: bacterial SSU rRNA
Rfam family: Bacterial small subunit ribosomal RNA
Source: RNAcentral
GCUGGCGGCAUGCUUUACACAUGCAAGUCGAACGGCAGCGGGGUAGUGCUUGCACUACUGUCCGGCGAGUGGCGAACGGGUGAGUAAUAUAUCGGAACGUACCGAGUAAUGGGGGAUAACCAAUCGAAAGAUUGGCUAAUACCGCAUACGUCCUACGGGAGAAAGCGGGGGAUCGCAAGACCUCGCGUUAUUCGAGCGGCCGAUAACUGAUUAGCUAGUUGGUGGGGUAAAGGCCUACCAAGGCGACGAUCAGUAGCGGGUCUGAGAGGACGAUCCGCCACACUGGGACUGAGACACGGCCCAGACUCCUACGGGAGGCAGCAGUGGGGAAUUUUGGACAAUGGGGGCAACCCUGAUCCAGCCAUGCCGCGUGUAUGAAGAAGGCCUUCGGGUUGUAAAGUACUUUUGUUAGGGAAGAAAAGGGAAGUGCUAAUACCACUUUUUGCUGACGGUACCUAAAGAAUAAGCACCGGCUAACUACGUGCCAGCAGCCGCGGUAAUACGUAGGGUGCGAGCGUUAAUCGGAAUUACUGGGCGUAAAGCGAGCGCAGACGG